Molecule: ribosomal RNA, 232 nt
Filed under: uncultured bacterium
Lineage: Bacteria
Description: partial 16S ribosomal RNA
Rfam family: Bacterial small subunit ribosomal RNA
Source: RNAcentral
GAUCCUGGCUCAGGAUGAACGCUAGCUACAGGCUUAACACAUGCAAGUCGAGGGGAAACGACAUCGAAAGCUUGCUUUUGAUGGGCGUCGACCGGCGCACGGGUGAGUAACGCGUAUCCAACCUACCCAUUACUGUGGGAUAACCUGCCGAAAGGCAGACUAAUACCGCAUAGUCUUCGAUGACGGCAUCAGAUUUGAAGUAAAGAUUUAUCGGUAAUGGAUGGGGAUGCGU